UACGGAGGGUGCAAGCGUUAUCCGGAUUCACUGGGUUUAAAGGGUGUGUAGGCGGGCUGUUAAGUCAGUGGUGAAAUCUCCAGGCUCAACCUGGAAACUGCCAUUGAUACUAUCAGUCUUGAAUUUUGUUGAGGUAGGCGGAAUAUGUCAUGUAGCGGUGAAAUGCUUAGAUAUGACAUAGAACACCAAUUGCGUAGGCAGCUUACUACACGAUCAUUGACGCUGAGGCACGAAAGCGUGGGGAGCAAACAGG
This 253-nucleotide ribosomal RNA is filed under the name uncultured bacterium. Its description in RNAcentral is "partial 16S ribosomal RNA". It matches the Rfam family "Bacterial small subunit ribosomal RNA", at positions 524 to 776 of the family's 1533-position model. The record is from RNAcentral.